AUACGGAGGAUCCGAGCGUUAUCCGGAUUUAUUGGGUUUAAAGGGUGCGCAGGCGGGAGAUUAAGUCGGCGGUGCAAUUUUGCAGCUCAACUGUAAAAGUGCCUUUGAAACUGGGUUCCUUGAGUGUAGAUGAAGUAGGCGGAAUUUGUGGUGUAGCGGUGAAAUGCAUAGAUAUCACGAGGAACUCCGAUUGCGCAGGCAGCUUACUAAACUACUACUGACGCUCAGGCACGAAGGCGUGGGGAUCAAACAGGAUUAGAUACCCUGGUAGUCCACGCAGUAAACGAUGAUUACUAGCUGUUUGCGAUACAAUGUAAGCGGCUGAGCGAAAGCGUUAAGUAAUCCACCUGGGGAGUACGUUCGCAAGAAUGAAACUCAAAGGAAUUGACGGGG
This 393-nucleotide ribosomal RNA is filed under the name uncultured bacterium. Its description in RNAcentral is "partial 16S ribosomal RNA". It matches the Rfam family "Bacterial small subunit ribosomal RNA", at positions 523 to 918 of the family's 1533-position model. The record is from RNAcentral.